Molecule: non-coding RNA, 54 nt
Organism: Salmo salar (Atlantic salmon)
Lineage: Eukaryota; Metazoa; Chordata; Actinopteri; Salmoniformes; Salmonidae
Source: Rfam
UGUAUUCACUACUGUAAGUCGCUCUGUAUAAGAGCGUCUGCUAAAUGACUAAAA